Molecule: ribosomal RNA, 508 nt
Filed under: uncultured bacterium
Lineage: Bacteria
Description: partial 16S ribosomal RNA
Rfam family: Bacterial small subunit ribosomal RNA
Source: RNAcentral
GACGAACGCUGGCGGCGUGCCUAAUACAUGCAAGUCGAACGCUUCUUUCCUCCCGAGUGCUUGCACUCAAUUGGAAAGAGGAGUGGCGGACGGGUGAGUAACACUUGGGUAACCUACCCAUCAGAGGGGGAUAACACUUGGAAACAGGUGCUAAUACCGCAUAACAGUUUAUGCCGCAUGGCAUAAGAGUGAAAGGCGCUUUCGGGUGUCGUUGAUGGAUGGACCCGCGGUGCAUUAGCUAGUUGGUGAGGUAACGGCUCACCAAGGCCACGAUGCAUAGCUGACCUGAGAGGGUGAUCGGCCACACUGGGACUGAGACACGGCCCAGACUCCUACGGGAGGCAGCAGUAGGGAAUCUUCGGCAAUGGACGAAAGUCUGACCGAGCAACGCCGCGUGAGUGAAGAAGGUUUUCGGAUCGUAAAACUCUGUUGUUAGAGAAGAACAAGGACGUUAGUAACUGAACGUCCCCUGACGGUAUCUAACCAGAAAGCCACGGCUAACUACGUG